RNAcentral lists this unclassified non-coding RNA (1787 nucleotides) under Hevea brasiliensis (rubber tree). The record is from RNAcentral. Lineage: Eukaryota; Viridiplantae; Streptophyta; Magnoliopsida; Malpighiales; Euphorbiaceae.
CUGAUAAUCAAUCAGAGUGUGAUGGAAAUUGUGACUAUUAUAAAUCACUGUGCACCUUAAAUGGUUUAUGUGUCUUAACAAAAGAAGAAACUCUAAUCUUAGAUCUUAUAGAUAAGAUUGAGGAUCAGGAAGAAAGAAAGAAUAAGUUGGAAGAAUAUUUAAAUAUGUAUAAAGAUAAAAGUCCUUUAGAGAAAAGAAUGAAAAAAAAAAAAAACAAAGCCUGUAUGAUCUUAAAGAGAUAAUGGAAAAGAUUAAAAAGGCUAAAAUGCCUAGAGAACCAACAGUAAAAGAAUUAAGGCAAGAAGUUAAUUCAGCAAAAACUGAUUUACAAAAGUUAAAAGAAAGAGUAAUUUUACUCGAAAUAAAAGGUGAUCCUCAGCUAAAAGGUGAUACAGAAGAAGAAGUUGGAGCUGAAGAAAAUACUAAUAGUAUUAAUAAUCUUCAGUAUAUUAAUCAAAUUGAUAGAGUUAUUACUCAUAAGAAUAAAAAGCCAAAGAUCUCUUUUUUUGAAAGUUUAGCACAAGACGCCAAACUACUUUUUCAAAGGUUAAAAAAGAAUCCAUCAUCAUUGACUCCAGAGCAUACUCUAGCUGUCAAAAAGAAUAAAACAAAAGGUCAAAACCUUACCCUCUCUAGCCCUACCUAACUCUAAAGCCUUUGAGAUAGUAGAAAUAGAUGCUUUAAACAAAGGGUACGGAGGAAUCCUAAAGCAGAGGAUUGCUGACAAAGAAACCCUAGUACGAUUUAUAAGUGGCAUAUGGACAAGCCCAAGAGUUAAUUACUCUACCAUCAAAAAAGAGAUCUUAUCUAUAGUUCUCUGUAUACAAAAAUUUGAAUCUGAUUUAAUAAAUCAGAAAUUUCUUAUAAGAAUUGAUUGCAAGAGUGCUAAAAAAAAUACUCUUGAAAGAUGUUAAAAACAUCGCCUCAAAAUAGAUAUUUGCUAGAUGACAAGCCAUCUUAUCAGUAUUUGAUUUUGACAUAGAAUUCAUAAAAGGGGAAAAUAAUUCGUUGCCUGAUUUUCUAACUCGUAAAUUUCUUACAGGACAUGAAUUCAAAGGCCUCAACAACUCCUUCCAAGCGAACCCAUGAGGUUUCUCCUCCUCCGCCUAAAACGGUAGAUAAACUCAGAGAAGAUGCUUAUGCUGUUAGCAUCAAGACCAACAAUGCAAAAGAACUCACCCCUAUGUCCCUAUCAGUUACUGUUUUCUUAUGCCUAUUGACAAAAAGCAUAAAGAUCUAAAACCUUAUGAGGUUGCCAAUUUUUAUACUGAACAUCAUACAGUAAAUCUUUAUUUACCCAAGGAUUAUACUUACUACCAAGCAAUUUGGCCGAAACAGACUCAGUUGUUUUUUCCCUAAGCUAAUGAGUGGGCAUUCAGUAAAUUCAUAAUUAAAAAAAUAAUAUCCUAUGAUGAUUGGGGAGAUUCUCUGUUCAAACAAAGGGAAUUAAAUUUCGGAAAACCCAAGUACUUUAAUUAUUUUGAUUAUAUGCAAGCCUGGACUGGAGCAUUAAUCUAUGAGAACAGGUAGAGAAAAUUUAGCUGGUUCAUUCAAUUCCAGCUAGACAAAGAAUUAUGGGAUUUCUCAUCAUGGCUCUAUGAAUGGUUCUUUAACCGGAGACUUUUCCCAAUAGCUCUACCUAAUAAGGUUAGAGAAAUUUAUGAACAAUUUGCAGACUCAAAUAAAUCUUUAAAGGAUCCAAGAUUAUUAUUUACUAUCCAAGAUUAUUAUUUACUAUCUUAUAUGAAAUACAUUGGAUGGUUAGAUGGGAUUAUAUUAUCUCAAAA